UCCUACGGGAGGCAGCAGUGGGGAAUAUUGCACAAUGGGCGCAAGCCUGAUGCAGCCGUGCCGCGUGUGUGAAGAAGGCCUUCGGGUUGUAAAGCACUUUCAGCGAGGAGGAAGGUGGCGAACUUAAUACGUUCAUCAAUUGACGUUACUCGCAGAAGAAGCACCGGCUAACUCCGUGCCAGCACCCGCGGUAAUA
RNAcentral lists this ribosomal RNA (196 nucleotides) under uncultured bacterium. Its description in RNAcentral is "partial 16S ribosomal RNA". It matches the Rfam family "Bacterial small subunit ribosomal RNA", at positions 337 to 525 of the family's 1533-position model. The record is from RNAcentral.